AGUCGCAGGUUCGCAUGGUCUCAGUGGCAGUUGCCAGUUCUCAUGGUCUUAGCGGCAGAGUUACUGGUUCGCAUGGUCUCAGAGGUAGUUACUGGUUUUUGCCAGGGCUGAUGGAUGGCGAUGCGACGACGGACUCACUACACAGCGGAUCUGGAGUCGGUGGAACCUCACACAGUGAUUAUAAUGAAUGCGUAUUGGCUCCGCCGAUUGAUCUGCAGCCAUUAUGCAUGCAGUGGAAUUUAGGGGUAACAGGGUGUAGUCUGGUACUCCCCAUCAGGUUAUAAUUUUGUUGGUGAGUGACUUGGACACCCUCUCUUCUGUAAAGCUCAACCAAAUGGGUGUAAUAGUCCAUAAAGACAACAGAGUACACAUUGAACUCUAUGGGAAAGAGCCAAUGAAAUCCCAGGGUCUUUCUGAAGCUGCAAUUUCCCUGCUUUUGUUAAUUUGUAUUAUUAGCAGAGCUGAGCCCAAUCAACACCUAUAUACCAAAGCACUGUUUCAUAGGUCUUGUAUUUUUCGAAGAUAUCCUGAUAUUGAAUUCUCAUUAAACAUUCCAGGAAGGAGUUCUCAGAGACGUCCUGGUAUGUAGACUUGCUAGAUGGUUUCAUCUGAAGGAGUUCCAAGAUGGCACAGCCGAUGGCAGCUUCAAAACAUGGAUCACCUCGUUCCACGACGCUGGACUGCACUAUGAGAGGCCUUUGUGGGAUCACUAUGAACACCCUAAGGCGAAAAGCUGGGACAGAUCUUUCCGGCAGUAUAGCGGGACAUUUGCUGGACGGCACUAUGAAAGAGACUUCUUUGCCUUCCGAUAUCUCUUUGAAUGGACUGACCCCAUAGUACAUCAAGGACCUCAUCCAAAUCUAUACUCUAGCGCUCAAAUUAAGGUCUGAGGGCCAGCUCCAGCCCGUGGUGCCUAGAGUGAGACUUAAAACCAGGGGGGACAGGGCUUUCUCUGUGGUGGACCCCAGACUUUGGAAUGCCCUCCUCCUCCAUGUCCCAACAGCCCCCACGGUGGAGUGCUUUAAGUUUUGUGGUCCUCUGUGUCUUUUAUUUAUUUUACUACUUCAAACUACGUCUUUUAUUUAUUUUACUAUCGGUUUGAUUUUAUUGUUUUAUUUAUAGCAUCAUUUUAGAGUAAUACACCUAUUAUUUAUUGCCGAUUGUUAUAUGGAAAUGUUUGUU
Long non-coding RNA from Centropristis striata (black sea bass), 1182 nucleotides. RefSeq lists it as uncharacterized. The transcript has 2 exons. NCBI's taxonomy places the organism in Eukaryota, Metazoa, Chordata, Actinopteri, Perciformes, Serranidae. The record is from RefSeq and is a predicted model, not a curated record.